UGACUCUCUGAGGACUAUCUCACAAUGU
Molecule: non-coding RNA, 28 nt
Filed under: Rattus norvegicus (Norway rat)
Lineage: Eukaryota; Metazoa; Chordata; Mammalia; Rodentia; Muridae
Source: RNAcentral